AGGAAAGUACAAAGCCUUGGCCGACUGCGAGAAGGGAGAUUCGGAAGACUUGCUGGUGAAGCACGGAGACAUCAUCGAACUACUGCAUGAAAACGGAGAGGGACAAUGGCUAGUCAAAAACCUCAACCAGAGGAAAGAAGGCUGGUUAACCCUCAAUAGUUUGCAGCUAAUCCUGGGAGACGGCAGGUUUCGAAGUGGCAGAGUUGCAGAUGCUGCCCUGUAUAAGACAAGAAAAUUAAGCUCCCCCUGAAUUUGAAGGGAGAACUUGAGGUCAUGUCACUUUUGAACACUCCAGUGGAGGUUUGAAAUGGCUGCUGAAGAAAAAAAAAAGAGAGCAAUUAUGUCAUUGCUGGGAAGACUGUGUACUACCCAUCAUCCAUCAGCAUCCACCGCCCAUCACAGCUCCACCAACACCCACCGUGACCAUCAACGGAAGCCAUUCUUUCUUGGAGAAACAUGGCACCAUUUGUUUAUCCCAUGUGGGGUGGAAUUGAACCCCUUCUCACCAUCGUAGCAUCUAGCAAACGUCAUCCAAGAACUCCAUCUGGUGGUCUCCACAACUUUCCUUAAGAUGACCGGAGCUUUUUCUUACAGGUCCCUUCUUUUCCCCAACUACCCAUCCAGGUUAUUUUUUUCUGGAACAGGUGUGAACCUGGCCCAGCAGACCUCAGACUCAGGAAGACCAUAUUAGGGGAUGAGUGACAUAUAGCAUGGCAAUAAUCUUGAAGGGAAGCGGGGUCCCCUUUUGCUCUUGGACCCAGGGUUCUUGCAAGGAUUUGGGUAGCUUUAUUGUGUAACAACUCACCUGGGCUUCUUUGCCUCCCUAGAAGUGAGGUGUCCACGUUUACAUUGUAAUUUUAAUUGGAGGACAGUUAUGUGCCAUAACUGAGUUCAGUGUUCACAUUUGCACUAUAAGCUUGUUUGCAACAAGACUGCACUCAGCAUCUUCAGAGAGAACAACGUGAUGCUGGAAUGAGGGUAAUGCAUUCUCUUUUACCCUUUCCUUUCUUCCCCUUUUUUUCUGAAGCUUACAGAACUUUUUUUCUAUUCUCCGUUUCUCCUCAAUUUUUUUGUGCCAAUGCGUAAAUAAACAGGUGAUAAGAUAUACACAUCUAAUCUCAGUAAAGAUAGUGUUGAGGGUUGUGACUGUCCUGAUUGUGAUAGUAAAAACAAAGGGGCAAAUUGAAUGCCAAAAGAGAAUCAAUACAGGAGGACCUCCGUGUCUGUGGGGGAUCGGUUCCAGGCCCCCUCGGAGAUACUGAAAAAUGGAUUAUAGUCAACACUAUAUAUAUCAUGGUCUCUGGCUCCUUCUAGUGGCCAGUUCUGGUGACUUAAUCUUUAGA
This is a non-coding RNA of Pogona vitticeps (central bearded dragon), 1343 nucleotides long. Lineage: Eukaryota; Metazoa; Chordata; Lepidosauria; Squamata; Agamidae. The record is from RefSeq and is a predicted model, not a curated record.